RNAcentral lists this ribosomal RNA (538 nucleotides) under uncultured bacterium. RNAcentral's name for it is "bacterial SSU rRNA". It matches the Rfam family "Bacterial small subunit ribosomal RNA", at positions 8 to 526 of the family's 1533-position model. The record is from RNAcentral.
AGAGUUUGAUCAUGGCUCAGAAUCAACGCUGGCGGCGUGCCUAACACAUGCAAGUCGAACGCGAAAGGGGCUUCGGUCCUGAGUAGAGUGGCGAACGGGUGAGUAACACGUGGGUGAUCUACCUUCGAGUGGGGGAUAACGUCCCGAAAGGGACGCUAAUACCGCAUGACGUUCUGGGUUUAAAGACCUGGAAACCAAAGCCGGGGACCGCAAGGCCUGGCGCUUGAAGAGGAGCCCGCGUCCGAUUAGCUAGUUGGCGGGGUAAUGGCCCACCAAGGCGACGAUCGGUAGCCGGCCUGAGAGGGCGGACGGCCACACUGGAACUGAGACACGGUCCAGACUCCUACGGGAGGCAGCAGUGGGGAAUUGUUCACAAUGGGCGCAAGCCUGAUGACGCAACGCCGCGUGGGGGAUGAAGGUCUUCGGAUUGUAAACCCCUGUCGAACGGGACGAAAGACCCGGGAGCUAAUCAUCCUGGGAGUGACGGUACCGUUAAAGGAAGCCACGGCUAACUCUGUGCCAGCAGCCGCGGUAAUAC